This 274-nucleotide unclassified non-coding RNA is filed under the name air metagenome. Its description in RNAcentral is "partial contains small subunit ribosomal RNA, internal transcribed spacer 1, and 5.8S ribosomal RNA". The stretch from base 1 to 46 matches the Rfam family "Eukaryotic small subunit ribosomal RNA", at positions 1786 to 1831 of the family's 1831-position model. The record is from RNAcentral.
AAGUCGUAACAAGGUUUCCGUAGGUGAACCUGCGGAAGGAUCAUUACCGAAUUGUCAAACGGGUUGUUGCUGGUCCUCAAACGGGGACAUGUGCACGCUCUGUUUACACAUCCACUCACACCUGUGCACCCUCCGUAGUUCUAUGGUCUGGGGGACCCCGUCUUCCUGCCGUGGUUCUGCGUCUUUACACACACGCUGUAACAAAGUCUUAUGGAAUGUAUGCCGCGUCUAACGCAAUACAAUACAACUUUCAGCAACGGAUCUCUUGGCUCUC